Molecule: long non-coding RNA, 657 nt
Organism: Perca fluviatilis (European perch)
Lineage: Eukaryota; Metazoa; Chordata; Actinopteri; Perciformes; Percidae
Exons: 3
Source: RefSeq, a predicted model, not a curated record
CAAACACACUGUGCCUUUGGCAGGACACCUGAACAAUCCCCUUAACAUCAAACAGGACCGCAGACAAAGCUUCGAGGAUCACUACUGCAUCACAUCAUCUUACUGAGCACACUAUCUGAAUCCUCUGAGAGGGAAAGAUGGAGCCUUCAAAGGCACAAAACAAAGAAGCCGACCAUCAAACACCAUCACAGCACAAAACCACACUCACAGCUGCACAUGCAUGCACACAUGGAAGCAUCCAGGUGCAUUUUAACUGCAGAGACAGACAGACAUGAGGACAUGCAGGGGAUCAGCUGUCUGGAUUCACAAAGAGGCAAAAACAAAUCAGGGCCAUGUUUCCUCUCCAAGAGACAGCAUAAGCUAAAUCAUGCAGAUUUAGUCUCGUCAACAAACUGAUGGGCAAACUGGCGCUUAUGUGCUCCACAUAAACUGAACAAUCUGCAUGUUUUGACGCAUAUGCUUUGUGGAAAACCUAUUUGCUGCCUGGAUUGGCAAAAAAAAGGAGGUGCUACGUUUAUACUGCAUGUAAAUUGUACGUAGGAGGUUGAGGUAGAUGUAGUAGUAGGACUUUUGUUAGUUGCUUUUUCUCAACAUUUUCUCAACAUUUCUUCGUGCCGCCCAAGACGAUUGUGAUUGGAUUAAAGAAAUUCCAAUAAA